This 1443-nucleotide long non-coding RNA is filed under the name Zalophus californianus (California sea lion). Its description in RNAcentral is "lncRNA (ENSZCAG00015002540.1)". Lineage: Eukaryota; Metazoa; Chordata; Mammalia; Carnivora; Otariidae. The record is from RNAcentral.
GUAUCCAGAAAAGAUACGCUUGAGUCUGGGGGUGGCUGGAGCUGAAGAUAUAAAUGUGGAAGUCGUUCCAAAACGGACAGUCUUUAGCACCCUAUAUUUGAAAAAAUUACCCAGGGAAUGAGACUUAUUACAGAAGAUGGACAUUUGAUGAUAUUUGAUCAGUGCCUGAAUACCUUGUGUGGACUUCAGGGUUAAGAAUUUCAUAUUCAAAGGCACUGUGGAGCCUGGAGAAGCUUUGGCAGGCGGUUAGAAUUCCUCAGGGGUUGUCAUCUGCCACCUGGCUCCCUGUUACUGCCCAUGGGAAACUGUAUAUUAACAUCUUGCCAGAACUCUAUUUCUGCACUGUUCCUGCCCUCGCCAAGUCUCAUCCAGGACUGUUUGAGGAUUGGAAGAGAUAAUGGUGGUGAGGUUCUUAGCACAGCCUGGGCAUCCAGAUGGCGGCCAUGGAGCGUGAAGCAUCAUUUUUGAGCAACUUUUGAGGUCUUCUGACUCCAGCUCUGACGCUCUCGCACACACCAUCCUGCUCACAGCCACUGGUGGAAGGGCUGAGCCAGCUUCUGUGAGUCUUAUUUAGAUCUAAUACGUAGAGGCAGGGCUCACUAGACAUGUAUCAUGGUGGCGUGCUGGCCAUUGGCCAUGCAUUUGGCAGGACUGGCGCAGAUGUCCUACAUUGUAGAAAUGACACUUGUCACUUUACCCUAUGACAGGACCACAAGCAACACUUGCUAACAGAAGUCUCACGUGGGCUCUAGAUACUGACGUGGGGCUUGGGAAGUUCAACACAAUUCACAUAACUUCAGUGACGCAUCUUUCCUGAAAUACCAGACUUCUGGGUCACGCUAAGAAUGAGAUAACAGAAAACAGAGAUAUUGUCUCUGCUCUUGGUUGAUUCACUAUUUGUGUUUGUUUUGACUUUCCAGAAACUUAGGAGAUAAAAUCAUUCAGAUGUCAAAGAUUUUUGGAUAGAUGGAAGUCUGGCCCUAAGAAUUAAGUUAUUCGAAACAUUUUAGUAUGGAAAACUCCUGGGUGGGUUACAGUUCAUUUCAACCUCUUCUUAAAUAGACACCCCACUAUGCUAAUUCAACUUUUUCUUGCACAGUUAAAUAAUUCAUUGUGAUUAUACAUUAUUGUUCUGUUGGUGCACAGGGUUCUGUGUCCCUCUAAAAAUAGUCUCACAAUACUCACCUUUCUGAGUUCUUAUGUCUGUUCUGCAUAUUUUUCUAUUUCCUUCUCCAUGACCAUGCUUAUAGACGUCGCUUGCUUUAGGUAGAGCAGCUUAAAAUCUGCUUCAUGUGUUAUAAAGGAGUUUUUGAAAUUUUACAUUGCCCAACUUCUCUUGUGACAUUCUUAGAACGUGCCACUUUAUAUCAAAAUCACAAAUGUAUUUUAAUUGUUUUGUCUUUACAUUUGAGCCUCUGUGAUAGAGUAUAUUUUGAUAUAAGG